Molecule: ribosomal RNA, 347 nt
Filed under: uncultured bacterium
Lineage: Bacteria
Description: bacterial SSU rRNA
Rfam family: Bacterial small subunit ribosomal RNA
Source: RNAcentral
CUAGCGACUUCAGAGUUUGAUCCUGGCUCAGGAUGAACGCUAGCGGCAGGCUUAACACAUGCAAGUCGAGGGCAGCAUGGGACGAGAUUCGUCAAAGUCCUGAUGGCGACCGGCGCAAGGGUGCGUAACGCGUGAGCAACUUGCCCGUUUCUGGGGAAUAACCGGUGGAAACGCCGACUAAUACCCCAUGGCAUCAAUGAGAGGCAUCUUUUAUUGAUUAAAGAAUUUCGGAAACGGAUAGGCUCGCGUGACAUUAGCUAGAUGGCGGGGUAACGGCCCACCAUGGCGACGAUGUCUAGGGGUUCUGAGAGGAAGGUCCCCCACACUGGAACUGAGACACGGUCCAA